Molecule: non-coding RNA, 73 nt
Organism: Pangasianodon gigas (Mekong giant catfish)
Lineage: Eukaryota; Metazoa; Chordata; Actinopteri; Siluriformes; Pangasiidae
Source: the annotation of a GenBank genome assembly
GGCACAGUGGUGUAGGGGUUAGCACGAUUGCCUUGUACCCCAGGGGUUGGGGGUUCAAUUCCUGCCUGUGCCC